This is a non-coding RNA of Schistosoma mansoni, 46 nucleotides long. NCBI's taxonomy places the organism in Eukaryota, Metazoa, Platyhelminthes, Trematoda, Strigeidida, Schistosomatidae. The record is from Rfam.
GCACUGCUGAGGAGUCCCAUAAUAGGACGAAACGGCCGUCCAGUUC